RNAcentral lists this long non-coding RNA (1936 nucleotides) under Homo sapiens (human). Its description in RNAcentral is "HSALNT0184822". Lineage: Eukaryota; Metazoa; Chordata; Mammalia; Primates; Hominidae. The record is from RNAcentral.
GGGCUCUCCAAGCACACCUGGCAGCCUGCAGCCUUUAGGUUUCUUCCCUGUUCCCUCUGCUGCCGACUUUUCUUUCACUUUCACUUAGAGCAAGAUGGCAGCCCGCGUCCCUGUGUGAAGCCGUCUGCAGCAGCUGCCAGAGCCCUGCUUGCUGUUUCCUUUCUCACCACCCACCUCACCCGGAAAUCCCCUGCGCAGGCGCAGCUGGCUGGGCUCCUGCUUCCCACUCUCCACCUCAUCCAUAUUUGUCCUCGUCCCUGCCAGUCUCGAAAAGGCACUCUGUCACGUGUACACAGGAAAGGGCCCUGACAAGAGGAUGGGACUGCAGUUGUGGCUGCCAGGGCCCCGGCCAGGGUGAAAACAAGGAACAUUCCAGAGAAGAUCACAAGGAUGCGAAUAAAAUCGGAGCUGCACAGGGAUCUUUGGGCUGAGCUUUCUGUCUGGCUUCCCUCCUGGCCCCUCGUGUAUGCAUUCUCUCUAGCGGUGGGGAUUAAGGAGAAAACUCACGUGGCCAGUGGGUAGAGAGAGUCCGGGCAGGCAGCUGCCUGAAGUCAGCCAGAGUCUGCAUGUGCCCAGCUGUCCUGGCCUCCAGCAUCUCUGGAAAAACAGAGACAGAAUGAGUAGCAGCAGGGGACCCCAUAGGGCACAUCUGAAGGCCUGAGAGGUGCUGGAUGGGAUGGGAAGGCAGAAACAGGCUGACCUUAUCUAGGGGUAGGAGUGGGGAGUACUGGUUGGGGUAUCACCGCUACCCCACGUGAUGGCACAGAGAGUUGCCUGGAACUUACCACUGACAUAAGGUUGGAGUGCAGUGGCACGAUCUCGGCUCAGUGCAACCUCCGCCUCCUGAGUUCAAGUGAUUCUCCUGCCUCAGCCUCCCUAGUAGCUGGGAUUACAGGACAAGGAGAGGGACAAAUUCCUUCUUGGCAUCCUUAUGGCCCUGUGACCUGCUAAUGAAUGCUGACUCUGAGUUGCUACUAGAAUUUGGUUUCCUUGUGGCUUCCCAGGAAUUGGUCUCACUCUGCUCACUCUGUCUCCCAAGCUGGAGUGCAGUGGUACAGUCACGGCUCACUGCAGCCUCCACUUCCUGGACUCAAGUGAUCUUCUCACUUCAGCCUUCUGAGUAGCUGGGACUACAGCCCCCUCUGCAGCUCUUCAUGGGGGUCCACUCAAGUCAGAAGCCACAUUUGGGUGUGAUUCAGAGAGCUGUUUAUGCAAAACCAGCUUUGUCACCAUCAGGCAAGGCACCUGAAUUCCCACCGCAGAGAGUGUUGUGGCCGUGAGGACUUUUCUGUCACCAGCCAUUUCCAGGUAGACCCAGUGUAAUCACAAGCAUCCUUGUAAGUGGCAAAGAGGCAGAGGAGACAGCGCCAGAGAGGCAGCUGCAUGAGAAGGAUCAAGAUGUUGCUGACUUUGAAGUUGGAAGAAGAAGGCCAUGAGCCUCAGUAUGUGGGCGGCUUCUAGAAGCUGGAAGGGGCAAGGAGAUGGAUUUGACCCUUCAGCCUCCAGGGGCAGCUGUACCUGCCAUCACUGAUUGUAGCCUGGUGAGGCCUGUUUUAGACUUCUGACCUGUAGAGCUGUAACAUAAUACAUUUGGGUUGUUUUCAACCACUAAGUUUGUGGUAAUUUGUUGUAGCAGCUGUAGAAAAUGAAUACAUAUGAAUCCUCUGGCAUUUGUUUGAGAUUUGCUCUAUGGCCUAGUAUGUGGUUGUAAAUGUUCCAUCUGUGCCUGAAAAAAUGUAUAUUUCUAAUUCAGUAGUCUCUGCUUUUUUUUUUUAUUUUGUACCCCAUCAAUAAAAUGAUUUUCAGCAUGUAUCCCCAAAUAAACAAUAUUUUAUUUAUUGAUUGAUUGAUAAACAGACAUGUUUAAUGAUAGCUUGCUUUUCACAGAGGUGACUUCGGAGACUUCUAAUCUAUAAUCCAGGAGUAUAUAACCAUG